GACGAACGCUGGCGGCGUGCUUAACACAUGCAAGUCGAACGGAAAGGCCCUGCUUUUGUGGGGUGCUCGAGUGGCGAACGGGUGAGUAACACGUGUGUAUCCUGCCCCUGACUUUGGGAUAACUUCAGGAAACUCGGGCUCAUACCGCAUAGGAGCUCCUGCUGCAUGGUGGGGGUUGGUAAGUUUCGGCGGUUGGGGAUGGUCUCGCGGCUUAUCAGCUUGUUGGUCGGGUAGUGGCUUACCAAGGCUUUGAGGGAUAGCCGGCCUGGGAGGUGGACCGGGCACAAGAGGACUGAGAGAGGGACCAGUCGCCAACGGGAGGCAACGGGGGAGAGUAUGACACAGUGAGGGGGAGCGUGAGACAGAGACGCCGCGUGCGGGAUGACGGCCUACGGGUUGUGAACCGCUGUCGCCGGUGACGAAGCGUGAGUGACGGUAAUGGGUAAAGAAGCAACGGCUAACUACGUG
This 468-nucleotide ribosomal RNA is filed under the name uncultured bacterium. RNAcentral's name for it is "partial 16S ribosomal RNA". It matches the Rfam family "Bacterial small subunit ribosomal RNA", at positions 28 to 507 of the family's 1533-position model. The record is from RNAcentral.